RNAcentral lists this ribosomal RNA (50 nucleotides) under Xylanibacter ruminicola. Its description in RNAcentral is "Prevotella ruminicola partial 16S rRNA". The record is from RNAcentral. Lineage: Bacteria; Pseudomonadati; Bacteroidota; Bacteroidia; Bacteroidales; Prevotellaceae.
GAAGUCGUAACAAGGUAACCGUAGGGGAACUGCGGUUGGAUCACCUCCUU